GCGUCGAGGCCAAAUGUGGCUAUCAGUUAUUUUUUCUUGCUUUGCUUUUUAUAAAGUUUUGUUAUAGAACGCGAGUACGAACUUGGCCUAGUUAGCGGAGCAUCGACAUUCUGAAAGACAGCGCUAUCUAAAGAACAACAUCCAGCAAGACAAAGCAACAUCAGCACAUGUACUCUUCGUCUUGUUGUUUUGCAGCUAGCGCGGUUUCUCUUAAUGUCUUUGCUGCAGAAUUAGUCAAUGAUUACACAAUUACCUCGCGUUUUCAAAAUUUCUUGUUGACUUUUAGACCAUGUUGGAAGCCGCAGAGAAGAAAUCAUAAAGCUUUUCAAGUGCAUCCUGUCGAAAGCAACGCCAGAGCUGGUGGAUCAGCUCGAGGAGCUCAAGCCAAAGUUGUACUGCACCAACUACUACGUGGUCGUGAAGAAAAUCUGUCACGCUAAACGAUUCGCGGUAUUUAUGCGGGAAUACCUAAGUACGCCGGAGCUUUACGCCGAACUUGAAAAGCUAGGCCAAGAGUGCCAGAAGACGGACACGACUACGCGCGUUCAGCCCGCGCAGGAGGAGCCAGCCCCGGGACUGCUGAAGCGCAUCAUCCAUUACAUUCUGUGGUUGGCUGACAAGGCUUCUGAUAUCAAGGACGCAGUCAUCAGACGCGUUGCAUCUUAUAAAGCGUCGUCCGCGUGAACAAUAAAAACGGCCGUAUAAGUCCACAGGGUUCCAAAAGGUAUUUCCUGCUUGUCAAGCUUCAUCUAUCCAGCAUU
Molecule: long non-coding RNA, 761 nt
Organism: Dermacentor andersoni
Lineage: Eukaryota; Metazoa; Arthropoda; Arachnida; Ixodida; Ixodidae
Source: RefSeq, a predicted model, not a curated record